AGGGUGCAAGCGUUAAUCGGAAUUACUGGGCGUAAAGCGCGCGCAGGCGGCCUUUUAAGUCUGAUGUGAAAGCCCACGGCUUAACCGUGGAAGGUCAUUGGAAACUGGAAGGCUUGAGGAUAGAAGAGGAAAGUGGAAUUCCACGUGUAGCGGUGAAAUGCGUAGAGAUGUGGAGGAACACCAGUGGCGAAGGCGACUUUCUGGUCUAUAACUGACGCUGAGGCGCGAAAGCAUGGGGAGCAA
RNAcentral lists this ribosomal RNA (243 nucleotides) under uncultured bacterium. Its description in RNAcentral is "partial 16S ribosomal RNA". It matches the Rfam family "Bacterial small subunit ribosomal RNA", at positions 529 to 771 of the family's 1533-position model. The record is from RNAcentral.